GGAUUGUAGCUCAGUGGUAGAGCACUUGCCUUGCAUGCAUGAGGCCCUGCGUUCAAUCCUCAGCAUCA
RNAcentral lists this transfer RNA (68 nucleotides) under Marmota monax (woodchuck). RNAcentral's name for it is "tRNA.Ala". The stretch from base 5 to 65 matches the Rfam family "tRNA", at positions 6 to 65 of the family's 71-position model. Rfam says of the family: Transfer RNA (tRNA) molecules are approximately 80 nucleotides in length. Their secondary structure includes four short double-helical elements and three loops (D, anti-codon, and T loops). Lineage: Eukaryota; Metazoa; Chordata; Mammalia; Rodentia; Sciuridae. The record is from RNAcentral.